GUAGGUGGCAAGCGUUGUCCGGAAUUAUUGGGCGUAAAGCGCGCGCAGGCGGUUCUUUAAGUCUGAUGUGAAAGCCCACGGCUCAACCGUGGAGGGUCAUUGGAAACCUGGAGAACUUGAGUACAGAAGAGGAAAGCGGAAUUCCACGUGUAGCGGUGAAAUGCGUAGAGAUGUGGAGGAACACCAGUGGCGAAGGCGGCUUUCUGGUCUGUAACUGACGCUGAGGCGCGAAAGCGUGGGGAGCAAACAGGAUUAGAUACCCUGGUAGUCCACGCCGUAAACGAUGAGUGCUAAGUGUUAGGGGGGUUUCCGCCCCCCUUAGUGCUGCAGCUAACGCAUUAAGCACUCCGCCUGGGAGUACGGCCGCAAGGCUG
This 374-nucleotide ribosomal RNA is filed under the name uncultured organism. Its description in RNAcentral is "partial 16S ribosomal RNA". It matches the Rfam family "Bacterial small subunit ribosomal RNA", at positions 527 to 896 of the family's 1533-position model. The record is from RNAcentral.